UGAGCCGGGAAGGACAGAGACCCAAGUCCCAUCCCUCUGGGGCCCCCUUGGAAUGGGGGAGGCGAACAGGAAACCACCACAAACAUGCCCCCCCGCCAUCCCAGGAGAAGCAGCAGCUCUCUGCCUCCUUGACUGAGCUCCAUUACCUCCAAGCUGAGAGGGUUGUUCAAGAGGGCGUGUGGGAUUCUUUUGAAAACACAUUUUUAGAAAGCACCCUUUUAACAACUGAACAUGAUUUGGUUGAAAAUAAACAUCCCCGGGUACUCUUGUGGUACAUGUUUAUGAUUUUGAUGCUUCUGGUCUGAAUGUACAACCUUCACAUUGUACAUUACAAACACUACUGUCAAGUUUAUAGAUUUUCAUUUUAUUUGCUAAUUCAUUUUUCAGUUCUCUGCACUGCUUGUAAAUCAGGCAAACCUGAUAAACUGUCUAAAC
This 435-nucleotide long non-coding RNA is filed under the name Homo sapiens (human). RNAcentral describes it as "non-protein coding lnc-MCF2L-9:1". Lineage: Eukaryota; Metazoa; Chordata; Mammalia; Primates; Hominidae. The record is from RNAcentral.